Molecule: ribosomal RNA, 574 nt
Filed under: uncultured bacterium
Lineage: Bacteria
Description: partial 16S ribosomal RNA
Rfam family: Bacterial small subunit ribosomal RNA
Source: RNAcentral
UGGGGAAUUUUGGACAAUGGGCGAAGGCCUGAUCCAGCAAUGCCGCGUGUGUGAAGAAGGCCUUCGGGUUGUAAAGCACUUUUGUCCGGAAAGAAAUCCUUGGCUCUAAUACAGUCGGGGGAUGACGGUACCGGAAGAAUAAGCACCGGCUAACUACGUGCCAGCAGCCGCGGUAAUACGUAGGGUGCAAGCGUUAAUCGGAAUUACUGGGCGUAAAGCGUGCGCAGGCGGUUUGCUAAGACCGAUGUGAAAUCCCCGGGCUCAACCUGGGAACUGCAUUGGUGACUGGCAGGCUAGAGUAUGGCAGAGGGGGGUAGAAUUCCACGUGUAGCAGUGAAAUGCGUAGAGAUGUGGAGGAAUACCGAUGGCGAAGGCAGCCCCCUGGGCCAAUACUGACGCUCAUGCACGAAAGCGUGGGGAGCAAACAGGAUUAGAUACCCUGGUAGUCCACGCCCUAAACGAUGUCAACUAGUUGUUGGGGAUUCAUUCCUUAGUAACGUAGCUAACGCGUGAAGUUGACCGCCUGGGGAGUACGGUCGCAAGAUUAAAACUCAAAGGAAUUGACGGGGUCAUA